GACGAACGCUGGCGGCGUGCCUAAUACAUGCAAGUUGAGCGCUGAAGGUUGGUACUUGUACCGACUGGAUGAGCAGCGAACGGGUGAGUAACGCGUGGGUAAUCUGCCUUUAAGCGUGGGACAACAUUUGGAAACGAAUGCUAAUACCGCAUAAUAACUUUAAACACAAGUUUUAAGUUUGAAAGAUGCAAUUGCAUCACUCAAAGAUGAUCCCGCGUUGUAUUAGCUAGUUUGUGAGGUAAAGGCUCACCAAGGCGAUGAGACAUAACCGACCUGAGAGGGGGAGAGGACACAUAGGGAAUGAGACACGGGCCAAACACCCAUGGGAGGGAGAAGAAGGGAAAAUUUGGCAAUAGAGGAAAGUGUGAGAGAGAAAAGCCGCGUGAGUGAAGAAGGGGUUCGGAGAGUAAAAAUCUGUUUGAAGAGAAGAAAGUAGGUGAGAGAGGAAAGAUCAACAAGUGAAGGGAACUAAACAGAAAGGGAAGGCUAAAUAAGUG
This 497-nucleotide ribosomal RNA is filed under the name uncultured bacterium. RNAcentral describes it as "partial 16S ribosomal RNA". It matches the Rfam family "Bacterial small subunit ribosomal RNA", at positions 28 to 507 of the family's 1533-position model. The record is from RNAcentral.